RNAcentral lists this ribosomal RNA (465 nucleotides) under Vreelandella stevensii. RNAcentral's name for it is "partial 16S ribosomal RNA". It matches the Rfam family "Bacterial small subunit ribosomal RNA", at positions 338 to 795 of the family's 1533-position model. Lineage: Bacteria; Pseudomonadati; Pseudomonadota; Gammaproteobacteria; Oceanospirillales; Halomonadaceae. The record is from RNAcentral.
CCUACGGGUGGCAGCAGUGGGGAAUAUUGGACAAUGGGCGAAAGCCUGAUCCAGCCAUGCCGCGUGUGUGAAGAAGGCCUUCGGGUUGUAAAGCACUUUCAGUGGGGAAGAAAGCCUUGGGGCUAAUACCCACGAGGAAGGACAUCACCCACAGAAGAAGCACCGGCUAACUCCGUGCCAGCAGCCGCGGUAAUACGGAGGGUGCGAGCGUUAAUCGGAAUUACUGGGCGUAAAGCGCGCGUAGGCGGUCUGAUAAGCCGGUUGUGAAAGCCCCGGGCUCAACCUGGGAACGGCAUCCGGAACUGUCAGGCUAGAGUGCAGGAGAGGAAGGUAGAAUUCCCGGUGUAGCGGUGAAAUGCGUAGAGAUCGGGAGGAAUACCAGUGGCGAAGGCGGCCUUCUGGACUGACACUGACGCUGAGGUGCGAAAGCGUGGGUAGCAAACAGGAUUAGAUACCCUAGUAGUC